RNAcentral lists this long non-coding RNA (756 nucleotides) under Triticum aestivum (bread wheat). RNAcentral describes it as "long non-coding RNA (TAES_LNC008136)". Lineage: Eukaryota; Viridiplantae; Streptophyta; Magnoliopsida; Poales; Poaceae. The record is from RNAcentral.
UAAAGGACAGGGAUGACAAUACUUCAUUUCACAACAAAUAUUACAAGUACAGAGCUAAUACAAAGACUAAAAAUUAGAUUAUCACACAACUAACUACCACAGAGAGUAAUUUCAAUACAAAAUAAAAUCACUAGUAAUCUGAAUUUAUACAAACCACUAACUGACAAACAGGAGACAUAUAUAUAAUUGUUUCACAUCAACCACACACACAUAUGUCUUAAUAAUUCUCAGAUGCAUGAGCUAAAACAUAGACAACCAAAAAUGAGCAAGAAUCUGCAACAAGCAGUACACAAGUGACAAUUUUAACUAAUUAACACACACAGGAAGUCUGAACUAAACAACAGUAGAUUACUAACACUUAUCAAAUCUGAAUAAUACAAAUCACAUGCGUCUCAAUCUUACAGAAAUUUCAAAGAGAGUGAGAAAGAAGGAGCAGCAGGAGGUAUGGGAAGAAGAGGCAACAGGGGAAAGGAGUAGUAGCAGCAGUGUGGAGGCGCAGGGGAGAAGAGAGAGCAGCAGCAGUUUGAGGCGAGGGAAGAAGAGAAGAUGCAGCAGCAGGGACGUGAGGAGAGGGAGCAGCAGCAGUUUUGGGGAGAAGAAGAAGGAGCAGCAGCAGCAUGGAGGGUUCAGCAGGGCAAAGAUGUGGGAGAGAGAGAGAUCGCGGCAGGUGAAGGAAGAGGAAAAGAGGGAGUAGUAGCAGCAGGAGGUCGAGGAGAAGAAGAAGCAGGGCGAGGCAGGGUUGCACGGGCUGGAGGG